RNAcentral lists this long non-coding RNA (538 nucleotides) under Panax ginseng (ginseng). Its description in RNAcentral is "long non-coding RNA (PGIN_LNC015231)". Lineage: Eukaryota; Viridiplantae; Streptophyta; Magnoliopsida; Apiales; Araliaceae. The record is from RNAcentral.
GGGACUGGGUUUCCAAUUUGUGCAGGUUCAGGCACAGUUUCCAUUUCUGGGAUGGGCUCAGGAGAAUUUGGAGUGGGGAUGGAUCGGGGUUUUCGGAUGACCAUCUUCUUCCGACGAGGUUGAAGAGUCUCUUCUAGUAGGGGAGGCUCAUUGAAUUCUGGUUCAUUUGUUUGAGGUUCAGCAUUGGUAGGGUUUUCUUCGGAGGAAGCUUCUAUCAGAGGAGUUUCAGUAGCCUCCGAAGAUUUUCCAGAUAGAAAUUCUUCAAAUUCCUUUAUUUUUGAGGAAUUCGGUCUGAUCAAAGAUACUGCAAAAAGUAAACAGUCCUGCAUCAGAAUUUAUAUUACAUGAAUUUCUAAAUAUUUGUACACAUAAGACAAAUCAAUUCUUACAUUUAUGGUCGUAUAGCCAUGCUUGCUUGGUAAGAAGUAAAUAAUGCCAUUCCUUCGAGGGGAAAUUCUCGAAGAGCUCUACCAUUUCAUUUUCUCUUUCUUCUGAGAUAUCUCCGAAAUCAGCAAAAACUUUUUCGUGUGUAACCCAG